CAAUAGCGUAUAUUAAAGUUGUUGCGGUAAAAAAGCUCGUAGUUGGAUUUCUACCGAAGAUAGCCGGUCGGGUCUUCGACCUUGUAUCUGGUUUUGUCUUUGGUAUCCUCAUAGGGAACGUUUCUGCGCUUUAUUGCGUGGUGCGGUAUCUAUGACUUUUACUUUGAGGAAAUUAGAGUGUUCACGGCAGGCAAACGCCUUGAAUAUAUUAGCAUGGAAUAAUAACAUAGGAUCUUCGUCCUAUUUUGUUGGUUUCUAGGGCUAAGAUAAUGAUUAAUAGGGAUAAUUGGGGGCAUCUGUAUCAACGCGUCAGAGGUGGAGUUCUUGGAUUGCGUUGCGACAAACUACUGCGAAAGCAUUUGCCAAGGAUGUUUUCAUUGA
RNAcentral lists this ribosomal RNA (381 nucleotides) under uncultured eukaryote. RNAcentral's name for it is "partial 18S ribosomal RNA". It matches the Rfam family "Eukaryotic small subunit ribosomal RNA", at positions 592 to 976 of the family's 1831-position model. The record is from RNAcentral.